GCCCACAACCAUAUCACCCUGUAGCCAAGCUAAGCAGGGCCGAGCCUGGUCAGUGCCUGGAUGGGAGACCACAUGGAAAAACUAUGUUGCUGUUGGAA
RNAcentral lists this ribosomal RNA (98 nucleotides) under Danio rerio (zebrafish). Lineage: Eukaryota; Metazoa; Chordata; Actinopteri; Cypriniformes; Danionidae. The record is from RNAcentral.